UACGUAGGGCGCAAGCGUUAUCCGGAAUUAUUGGGCGUAAAGAGCUCGUAGGCGGUUUGUCGCGUCUGCCGUGAAAGUCCGGGGCUCAACUCCGGAUCUGCGGUGGGUACGGGUAGACUAGAGUGAUGUAGGGGAGACUGGAAUUCCUGGUGUAGCGGUGAAAUGCGCAGAUAUCAGGAGGAACACCGGUGGCGAAGGCGGUUCUCUGGGCAUUACCUGACGCUGAGGAGCGAAAGUGUGGGGAGCGAACAGG
RNAcentral lists this ribosomal RNA (253 nucleotides) under uncultured bacterium. RNAcentral describes it as "partial 16S ribosomal RNA". It matches the Rfam family "Bacterial small subunit ribosomal RNA", at positions 524 to 776 of the family's 1533-position model. The record is from RNAcentral.